UUAGCAAUGUGGGGGCCAUUGGUAACUCCGAUAAGGUCUGUUUGGUAGAGAAUUGUGAUUUAAGGCACGAUUAAAGAAUUUUUUUUUUUUAAAUAGGAAAGAAUUCAAGGAAUUAGAAUCUUCUGAGCUGUUUUUGCUGUAAGCAGUAGCUGACAUAAGUGGGGUUAAAAGGGUUUUUGUUUUUGACAGGAUAAGGGAGAAUUACUGGAGUGAUAUCCCUGAGUAAAAGAGGGAAAAUGGAAAGUACAGUACAAAUGGAGAGGUUGACACAUUCAUAAACAAAAGCAGAUACAUAUGCAAGCAGGUCAACAGAUGUGAUGGUAAACUUCUCUUCUGAUUGUUUCUAUUGCUCAGGUGCUCCCCCUCCCUCACCCAGCACCUCUACUGUGAGAGGAAAAAAGGAGGUAUUGAAAAUUUAUAAAAAUAUGCAAUAGUCAUCAAGGAGGAUGGGAGAGUGAAUGCAAUAGGGAAAUGUGGUAGAAUACCAAGAGACCACAACUUGUUGCUCGUAAUCACAAACUUUAAGAUACUCAGGGACUGAGCUGUUAGCUUUCAUGCAGUUACAUAGUUUGGAUUCCCCUAAUCCUAUGAAGAAACUGAGACUGAUAAAGGAUAAUAGUGCCCAUGUCAUAUAGCUGGUAAGGCAGCAGGAGCGUGAUUCCAACACAGACUACCUCUUUGACAUUAAGGACAUUGGCCCAAGACAAGCAGAAAUAGAAUGGGCAAGACAGAUUUUAAAUAAGUAACUUACAAACUUCUAGGUGAGUACCCUGAACAGUGAUAUCUUAUUUUAUGACAACUUUUAUUACAAUUUUAUUUUAACCACUAAGAAACUGGUUUUGAAAAAGAGAAAAUGGUGCUAAUAGAGUAGCAAAAUUAGGCAAAGUCCACUCACCUGAUGAAGCUUUUGCUUUAGGGAGAACCAGAGAGUGCCAAUGAUUACUUAAUAUGUAGCUGUAUGGCAAAGUGUUAAAUAAUUCUGAUUCCUUUUCUGGAUCAGUAAUUUAGAUCUGGUUGUCCCAAUUUAGAUGUGAGAAUCUGGACUGAAAUGCACGUAGUAAAUAUUAACUACCCAUAUAUAAUUAAGCAGAGAACACCAGUCCACUUAAUAGAAGCUCUUUAAAAUAGAAAGCAU
Mustela erminea (ermine) is the source of this 1135-nucleotide long non-coding RNA. RefSeq lists it as uncharacterized. The record is from RefSeq and is a predicted model, not a curated record. NCBI's taxonomy places the organism in Eukaryota, Metazoa, Chordata, Mammalia, Carnivora, Mustelidae. The transcript has 3 exons.